AUGCAGCACCAACGACACAACAUGCUUACCUUCGACAUGCGUACGAGCAUGUACUAUGUUCUUCUCCUGCAGCUCGUGCUCGCGGGCGCCAUUGCCCGCCGCGGCGUCGUCGGAGCCCUGGACGUGGGUUACUACGCCGCGACGUGCCCGGACGCCGCGGCGACGGUGCGGCAGGCCAUGGAGCUGCAGUUCUACAACGACCGCACCAUCGCCCCCGCCAUCAUCCGCAUGCUCUUCCACGACUGCUUCGUCAGGGGGUGCGACGCGUCGGUGAUGAUCGUGCCGGCGGCGGGGCGGUCGUCGGAGCGGGUGGCGAUCCCGAACCAGACGCUGCGCGGCUUCAACAUCGUCAACCGGGUCAAGAAGGCCCUGGAGUCGGCCUGCCCGGGCGUGGUCUCCUGCGCCGACACGCUGGCGCUCAUGGCGCGGGACUCCGUCGCCCUCCUCGGCGGCGCCGCCUACGACGUCCCGCUCGGCCGCCGCGACGGGCUGCAGUCCAACCCCUGGGAGGUGGACCUGCCGGCCCCCUUCGCGCGCCUCGACGACGCGCUCCGCUCCUUCGCCGCCAGGGGCUUCUCGGCGGAGGAGACGGUGGUGCUCUUCGGCGCCCACACCGUCGGCGCCACGCGCUGCUCCCACUUCCGCUACCGCCUCGCGCACCCGGACGGCACCAUGGACGAGGCGCUCCGGCGCGACAUGGCCGAGGCGUGCGGCCUCGCCGGCGGCGACCUGCCGCCGGACGACGACCCCACCGCGUUCCUCGACCCGGACACGCCGUUCGCCAUCGACAACGCGUGCUACGGCCAGAUGAUUGGCAACCGGAGCCUCCUGCAGCUGGACCAGGAGGCCGCCACGCACCCCGCCACGGCCGGCCACGUCGGCUACUACGCGGCCAGCCCCGACGCGUUCGUGCGGCGGUUCUCGGAGGCCAUGGCCAAGCUGGCGGCCGUGGGCGUGCUCGAGGGGGACGCCGGCGAGGUCAGGAAGGUGUGCAGCGCGUACAACAAAUGA
RNAcentral lists this ribosomal RNA (1011 nucleotides) under Triticum aestivum (bread wheat). RNAcentral describes it as "partial small subunit ribosomal RNA". Lineage: Eukaryota; Viridiplantae; Streptophyta; Magnoliopsida; Poales; Poaceae. The record is from RNAcentral.